This 96-nucleotide ribosomal RNA is filed under the name uncultured Isochrysis. Its description in RNAcentral is "partial Bacterial small subunit ribosomal RNA". The record is from RNAcentral. Lineage: Eukaryota; Haptophyta; Isochrysidales.
AAUGAGUUUGAUUCUGGCUCAGGCUUAACGUUAUUAGGGUAUAUUCGAUAUGCUAAUCAAACGUUUUCAAAAAAUGUGGUGUACUUGAGAGUAAUG